RNAcentral lists this transfer RNA (73 nucleotides) under Trichonephila clavata. RNAcentral's name for it is "tRNA-Asn". It matches the Rfam family "tRNA". From Rfam's summary of the family: Transfer RNA (tRNA) molecules are approximately 80 nucleotides in length. Their secondary structure includes four short double-helical elements and three loops (D, anti-codon, and T loops). The record is from RNAcentral. Lineage: Eukaryota; Metazoa; Arthropoda; Arachnida; Araneae; Nephilidae.
UCUCCGUGGCGCAAUCGGCUAGCGCGUUCGCCUAUUAACUGAAAGGUUGGUGGUUCGAGCCCACCCAGGAGUG